This 554-nucleotide ribosomal RNA is filed under the name Trichoderma harzianum. RNAcentral's name for it is "eukaryotic LSU rRNA". The stretch from base 166 to 319 matches the Rfam family "5.8S ribosomal RNA". Lineage: Eukaryota; Fungi; Ascomycota; Sordariomycetes; Hypocreales; Hypocreaceae. The record is from RNAcentral.
CCAAACUGUUGCCUCGGCGGGAUCUCUGCCCCGGGUGCGUCGCAGCCCCGGACCAAGGCGCCCGCCGGAGGACCAACCAAAACUCUUAUUGUAUACCCCCUCGCGGGUUUUUUUAUAAUCUGAGCCUUCUCGGCGCCUCUCGUAGGCGUUUCGAAAAUGAAUCAAAACUUUCAACAACGGAUCUCUUGGUUCUGGCAUCGAUGAAGAACGCAGCGAAAUGCGAUAAGUAAUGUGAAUUGCAGAAUUCAGUGAAUCAUCGAAUCUUUGAACGCACAUUGCGCCCGCCAGUAUUCUGGCGGGCAUGCCUGUCCGAGCGUCAUUUCAACCCUCGAACCCCUCCGGGGGGUCGGCGUUGGGGAUCGGCCCUGCCUUUGGCGGUGGCCGUCUCCGAAAUACAGUGGCGGUCUCGCCGCAGCCUCUCCUGCGCAGUAGUUUGCACACUCGCAUCGGGAGCGCGGCGCGUCCACAGCCGUUAAACACCCAACUUCUGAAAUGUUGACCUCGGAUCAGGUAGGAAUACCCGCUGAACUUAAGCAUAUCAAUAAGCGGAGGAA